GACGAACGCUGGCGGCGUGCCUAACACAUGCAAGUCGAGCGGGGUUGAAGCGAGAGGUAACUCGAGCUUCUACCUAGCGGCGGACGGGUGAGUAACGCGUGGGCAACCUGCCUCAAGGUUUGGGAUAACAGCCCGAAAGGGCUGCUAAUACCGGAUAUGCCUAUGGCCUCGCAUGGGGCUAUGAGCAAAGGGGAAACCCGCCUUGAGAUGGGCCCGCGUCCCAUCAGCUAGUUGGUGAGGUAACAGCUCACCAAGGCGACGACGGGUAGCCGGCCUGAGAGGGUGACCGGCCACACUGGGACUGAGACACGGCCCAGACUCCUACGGGGGGCAGCAGUGGGGGAUCUUGCACAAUGGGCGAAAGCCUGAUGCAGCGACGCCGCGUGAGCGAAGAAGGCCUUCGGGUUGUAAAGCUCUGUCGUGGAGGGACGAACAAAAUGACGGUACCGUCCGGAGGAAGCCACGGCUAACGUACGUGCCAGCAGCCGCGGUAAUAUCACGUGUACG
This 507-nucleotide ribosomal RNA is filed under the name uncultured bacterium. Its description in RNAcentral is "bacterial SSU rRNA". It matches the Rfam family "Bacterial small subunit ribosomal RNA", at positions 28 to 533 of the family's 1533-position model. The record is from RNAcentral.